AAAGGAACCACAGAUAAAAAUAGGUGCAAUGUCCAUAUUGCUUCCUGUUUCUAGGCAUUAAGCUUUAUGACAUCGAACAAUUCAGUUUCAAAUGGGUUCCUUGUUUAAUUUCUUCACCAAGAUCUAACCUACGAACAUUAAAAAAAACAUUGAUCUCAAUUGACCCGGCAAUGGAGGCUUCAAUUCCAACCAACUCAAUACUCGACCAAAAUACACCGAACUUCACACGUAAGUUGACAGUGAUGUUAAGAACAAACCUCAAUAUUUAUUUAACAAAAAUAUCAACCAAUCGAGGUUUUCAAAUUUUGGUUCCUAGUUUUAAGUUCUUACAAUUUGUAAUGGUAAAUCUCUAGAUUGAGUUACGAUUUUGUCGUUAUCACUUUUAUCGGUGCACCGGUAACACUUUGGGUGAAAUGGUAGCGGCAAUCACUUUUAUCGGGCCAAGAUUCAUCUUCACAAGGUGGGUUUUGGAAGGCGGCGUGAUUCAUAGAGGUUGCUAGAGGGAUGACGGCGGAAUGUGCGACUAUUUGUUGUUGUUGCCCAUAUGGGCUCGUGAACCUCCUUUUUGUUGACUGUGUAUAAGUUGCCAAUGGAAUUUUGCCCGAAAGCGCUAUGGAGGAAACGCCGACUAGCCUGAUGAAGAAAGGGGUUGGGUUCGGUGGGGUUCUGGUUUCUGUAUUUUUUCUUAAUUUUUUAAAGUUAAAUCCACGUGUCCUUGUUUUAUUUGUUACUUUGGUGUGUGAAUUACACACACCUUUUUUGUUUUUCUGCCUAAGAAUUUUAUGUCAAAGCCUG
RNAcentral lists this long non-coding RNA (795 nucleotides) under Nicotiana benthamiana. Its description in RNAcentral is "long non-coding RNA (NBEN_LNC040323)". Lineage: Eukaryota; Viridiplantae; Streptophyta; Magnoliopsida; Solanales; Solanaceae. The record is from RNAcentral.